AAACCAGCACCUCAAGUGGUCAGGAUGAUUAUUGGGCCUAAAGCAUCCGUAGCCGGCUCUGUAAGUUUUCGGUUAAAUCUGUACGCUCAACGUACAGGCUGCCGGAAAUACUGCAGAGCUAGGGAGUGGGAGAGGUAGACGGUACUCGGGAGGAAGGGGUAAAAUCCUUUGAUCUCUCGAUGACCACCUGUGGCGAAGGCGGUCUACCAGAACACGUCCGACGGUGAGGGAUGAAAGCUGGGGGAGCAAACCGGAUUAGAAACCCGAGUAGUCC
RNAcentral lists this ribosomal RNA (274 nucleotides) under uncultured bacterium. RNAcentral's name for it is "partial 16S ribosomal RNA". It matches the Rfam family "Archaeal small subunit ribosomal RNA", at positions 473 to 747 of the family's 1478-position model. The record is from RNAcentral.